Crotalus tigris (Tiger rattlesnake) is the source of this 527-nucleotide long non-coding RNA. RefSeq lists it as uncharacterized. The transcript is spliced from 3 exons. The record is from RefSeq and is a predicted model, not a curated record. NCBI's taxonomy places the organism in Eukaryota, Metazoa, Chordata, Lepidosauria, Squamata, Viperidae.
CCUGCCAAGGACUGCUAGUCACUCAGACGAUUUGCCUUUUCUUAUUUACCGGGGGCUGUUUCAGGUCUCCUCCCUCCUCUCCUGUCACUUCUUUUCUGCUCUUUGUCAACUUGUGGUUUUAGGUGGAAACGGUUUCUUUUCCCUGCAUCAUCUAGCAGGAUCUCUGAGGCAUGAAGUGUAACCACAGGACUUUUCUUAUCCAACAGAGCCUUUGCUGGAGUGGACACCAUUCAAGCUCUGAUAUGCACAUUGUGGCCUGUCACGUUUGUUCUCCUCGGUAACAGGGAGAGGAGAAGACGGAAAGCACAGGCAGCCUCUGAGUGAAACUCUACAGGCAUCAGAGUCGAGGGAAAGAAACCUGCAGCUGUGUUGGCACCCUUCUCUUUUGCUGCUCGGAUCACCCAAGCUUUGCUUCCUAAUCCAGACAGCAAAAGCUUCAGCUCUGUCAGCUGAACUGCCUUCUAGCAGAUUACAAAGAAGAAGUAUCCACUGUGAAAUAAAGAUGAAAGGACUGGUACAGAAGCAAG